CGUGUAGGCGGGAGGACAAGUCAGAUGUGAAAUUCCAUGGCUCAACUGUGGGACUGCAUCUGAAACUGUUUUUCUUGAGUACUGGAGAGGAAAGUGGAAUUCCUAGUGUAGCGGUGAAAUGCGUAGAUAUUAGGAGGAACACCAGUGGCGAAGGCGACUUUCUGGACAGUAACUGACGCUGAGGCGCGAAAGCGUGGGGAGCAAACAG
This 208-nucleotide ribosomal RNA is filed under the name uncultured bacterium. RNAcentral describes it as "partial 16S ribosomal RNA". It matches the Rfam family "Bacterial small subunit ribosomal RNA", at positions 568 to 775 of the family's 1533-position model. The record is from RNAcentral.